AACCAUGAUUUCUGGAAAGUCCCUAGAAACGAGCCAAUUGGAAAUGUACAUGUAUGGAAACCCCUGCUAUUGUAAUCAUGUGGAUUUUGUCUUUAAAAGCUGUGCACAAUUCAGGCUGGGCACUUCCUCCAGCCUCCACUGCAUUGGAUGUGUUGAACGAAGUCCCUGCUUAGGCUUGUAUUGCUCCUGAAUAUCCUGAAUUAAAGCCUUGCUUUUGCAUUUUGAAAGAAAUCAAAGAAACUUUUGCAAAAAAAGUUACCUGAUACGACAGGAAUGGACAUUAUGGAAAGUCUUGCAGAACAAGUUUGGAAAGUUGAAGCCGACAAAAGAGGAGAAAUUAUCAGCAUAUUCUAGGUUCUGCCAGACAGUCUUUUAUUACAUGAUAAAAGCAACACUAGGCACUAGCUCUUGUAAAAUAUGCUCUGACCAACUUUCUGAAAUUAAAAAUGCAUAACCACA
Molecule: long non-coding RNA, 459 nt
Organism: Peromyscus leucopus (white-footed mouse)
Lineage: Eukaryota; Metazoa; Chordata; Mammalia; Rodentia; Cricetidae
Exons: 3
Source: RefSeq, a predicted model, not a curated record